Eublepharis macularius is the source of this 1719-nucleotide long non-coding RNA. RefSeq lists it as uncharacterized. NCBI's taxonomy places the organism in Eukaryota, Metazoa, Chordata, Lepidosauria, Squamata, Eublepharidae. The transcript has 4 exons. The record is from RefSeq and is a predicted model, not a curated record.
CAGCCUAUUCCCAGGAGACGUGGCACCCUCUGCCCUCAGUGCCUCAUUCGUCGCCACACUCUCCAGGACAUCCAAAGUGUAGUGUCUGGUGAACAUAUCCACCGAUGACCGUGUCACUGCCUGGCAGAUGUCCUGUAGUGGAACACCCUUCAGGAGUGCUGCUGAAGUAGCCUGGGAUCUAGUGGAAUGUGUGUGCACUUCUUGUGGGCAAGACUCGCUAGUGGGACUACAGCUGUGGUGGAUGCCACCAAACCUAGGAGACGCUGUAUCUUUGUGGCGGAUUGGAACUUGUGUUUUAAGAAUAGGUAGGAAGCUCUGUCCACAGAUGCAUCAAGGACAGCACCUAUGAACUGGAUUCUUUUGGAGGGUAUUAACUUGGACUUCUUAUGGUUUACAAUAAGACCCAAUUCUGAGCAGGUUUGAUCUGUUAGGUCCACCUGCCUGUGUACGUCAUUCUCAGAUUGAGCCAAAAUAAGCCAGUCAUCUAAGGGAUAUAUGGAGCAGCCUAAUGUUCUCAAGUAGGCAACAACCACUGUCAAACAUUUCGUAAAAAAACCUGGGAGGCUGAGGAUAGUCCAAAGGAAAGAACUUGAUAUUGAUAAAUAUUCCCUUAGAAUGAAAAUCUCAAAUAUCUCAAUGAGGGGUCGAUAGAGGUGCGAAAAUAUGCAUCUUUCAAGCCUAUUACUGUAAACCAAGAAUUGGGCGGUAAUAAGGCCAUUACCAUGUUUAGGGUGGUCAUUCUGAAUUUGCACAUUGUAAUGAAUCCGUUGAGAUUUCUCAAAUCCAGAAUAUGUCUGUACCCUGUAUCUUUCUUUUGCACCAGAAUCUGGAGUAAAAUCCCAGUUGUUGCUCAUGAUCUGGUACUUUCUGGAAAGCUCCCUUGUCAAUAAGGGCUUUUAGUUUCACCAAAAGUUCUGGUUGAGGGGAAUUAUCUUAGUAGGUUCAGACACAGUAAGUAAUCAAAUUCAACUUUAUAACCGUUGCUUUGAUUAUAUUGCACAUCGAUACAUCCAAUGUGAUCAGACACCUGAGUAAAAACAGCAUAGCCUGUCACCAAAUAAUGGGUUUUUAUUCUGUGCUAGUCAGAACUGCUUGGAACCCUGAGUCUGCUGCUUGCUAGGUUUGGUGUGAGCUCCCUGUCUGGAUCUGUACGUUUGUCUCCUUCUUUGGAAAUUCCCUUGGUUACCGAUAUGGGCAAUAUUGAGGAUUCAAAAACGUCUGGUACGGUUGGUACUGGUACGAUCUGCUCUUGCAGUAGUGUUAUUAUCUAAAUUGGGGCUUUCUGGACCCUUGUCAAGUCGCAGGCAGGACCGUGUGAUCUGCGUCUGUUUUGUGACAAAUAUUCACCUCUUUUCAAAGAAUAGCGAGCAACUCUCGAACAUGAGAUAUAUAACCUUGAUCAAAGGUUUCUGGUCAUCUGGCAGCUAAUUGUAAAAAACUGCAGCUUUGUUCCAUAAAAAUAUUUGGUAAGUGCUCAUCAUAGCGGAAUAGUUGGCAAUUUUUAUGUUGAGUGCAGCCGAUGAGUAUAUCUUAUGUCCAAUGUCAUCUAAUUUUCUCCCUUCUUUACCCGAUGGUGGUGAGCGUAGUCCCUGCCAUUGUUUCGUCUGCAUCUCCUCGGAGACUAAUGAAGAAGGAGGUACAAACAUUUACAAACCGAAGCUAGGAGACUCGACGCGGCACUCUUCUUACCUCUGGUUUGCUGAGACUAGAUGAGACGAG